RNAcentral lists this ribosomal RNA (194 nucleotides) under uncultured Glomus. RNAcentral's name for it is "partial 18S ribosomal RNA". It matches the Rfam family "Eukaryotic small subunit ribosomal RNA", at positions 569 to 766 of the family's 1831-position model. Lineage: Eukaryota; Fungi; Glomeromycota; Glomeromycetes; Glomerales; Glomeraceae. The record is from RNAcentral.
AGCAGCCGCGGUAAUUCCAGCUCCAAUAGCGUAUAUUAAAGUUGUUGCAGUUAAAAAGCUCGUAGUUGAAUUUCGGGAUCAAUUUAUUGGUCGUGCUAUUGUACGUACUGGUGUCACUGGUUUCUCCCUUCUGAAGAACCGUCAUGCCAUUCAGUUGGUGUGGCGGGGAAUCAGGACUGUUACUUUGAAAAAAU